GACGAACGCUGGCGGCGUGCCUAACACAUGCAAGUUGAGCGACGAACCAGGGUUUGCCCUGGGGCAAAGCAGCGAACGGGUGAGUAACACGUGGGUAACCUACCCCGAUAACCGAGACAACCCGAGGAAACUCGGGCUAAUACCGGAUGUGCUCACUGGACUUCGGUUCAGUGCGUAAAGGAAGCUUCGGCCUCCGUAUCGGGAGGGGCCCGCGGCCCAUUAGUUUGUUGGUGAGGUAACGGCUCACCAAGACCGCGAUGGGUAGCUGGUCUGAGAGGACGAUCAGCCACACUGGGACUGAGACACGGCCCAGACUCCUACGGGAGGCAGCAGUGGGGAAUCUUGCGCAAUGCGCGAAAGCGUGACGCAGCAACGCCGCGUGGGGGAAGAAGGCCUUCGGGUUGUAAACCCCUUUCAGGAGGGACGAAGGUUCGGCGGUGAAUAGCCGUCCGGACUGACGGUACCUCCACAAGAAGCCCCGGCUAACUACGUG
This 493-nucleotide ribosomal RNA is filed under the name uncultured bacterium. RNAcentral's name for it is "partial 16S ribosomal RNA". It matches the Rfam family "Bacterial small subunit ribosomal RNA", at positions 28 to 507 of the family's 1533-position model. The record is from RNAcentral.